Non-coding RNA from Trichechus manatus latirostris (Florida manatee), 71 nucleotides. NCBI's taxonomy places the organism in Eukaryota, Metazoa, Chordata, Mammalia, Sirenia, Trichechidae. The record is from the annotation of a RefSeq genome assembly.
ACAUUGGUGGUUCAGUGGUAGAAGUCUUGCCUUCUACGCAGGAGACCCAGGUUUGAUUCCUGGCCAAUGCA